Non-coding RNA from Daphnia pulex (common water flea), 73 nucleotides. Lineage: Eukaryota; Metazoa; Arthropoda; Branchiopoda; Diplostraca; Daphniidae. The record is from the annotation of a RefSeq genome assembly.
GGUCGUGUGGCCUAAUGGAUAAGGCGCUGGACUUCUAAUCCAGAGAUUGCGAGUUCGAGUCUCGCCACGAUCA